Molecule: ribosomal RNA, 188 nt
Filed under: uncultured bacterium
Lineage: Bacteria
Description: partial 16S ribosomal RNA
Rfam family: Bacterial small subunit ribosomal RNA
Source: RNAcentral
CUGCAACCCGACUCCACGAAGUUGGAUUCGCUAGUAAUCGCGCAUCAGCCAUGGCGCGGUGAAUACGUUCCCGGGCCUUGUACACACCGCCCGUCAAGCCAUGGGAGCCGGGGGCGCCUGAAGUCCGGGACCGCGAGGACCGGCCUAGGGCGAAACUGGUAACUGGGGCUAAGUCGUAACAAGGUAUC